AUGACGUCCCUGUCGCGGACGCUCUCCCGGGCCGGCCCGAUGCAGCCGCCGGGGCCUCGCCGGAUUCUGCGGACGCAGACCGCCGUCAACCUCGGCGAGCCCAUCUUCGACAGUGAGGUGGUGCCGUCGUCGCUCGUGGAGAUCGCGCCCAUCCUCCGUGUCGCCAACGAGGUCGAGGCGGCCAACCCCCGCGUCGCCUACCUCUGUCGAUUCUAUGCAUUCGAAAAGGCUCACAGAUUGGAUCCAACUUCAAGCGGUCGAGGUGUCCGACAGUUCAAGACCGCUCUUCUACAACGGCUCGAAAGGGAGAAUGCGCCCACCUUGACCGGAAGGGCCCAAAAGAGUGAUGCACGGGAAAUACAGACCUUCUAUCGACACUACUACAAAAAAUAUAUUCAGGCGCUUCAAAAUGCUUCUGACCAAGGGGAUCGUUCCCAACUUACCAAAGCAUACCAGACCGCCAAUGUUCUGUUUGAGGUUUUAAAAGCAGUCACUCAACAACAUGCUGUUGAAGUUGACGAUGAGAUCUUGGAAACUGCUGAUAAGGUUAAAGAGAAGACAAAAAUCUAUAUCCCUUUUAACAUUCUGCCUCUUGAUCCUGACAGUGGCAACCAGGCAGUCAUGAAAUUUCCUGAGAUACAAGCUGCUGCUUCUGCUCUUCGCAAUACUAGAGGCCUUCCACUACCCAAAAAUUAUGAGAGUAAGGUUAACGAGGACCUCUUGGAUUGGCUACAAGCUAUGUUUGGCUUUCAGACAGAUAAUGUUUCUAAUCAGAGGGAGCAUUUGAUUUUACUUCUUGCUAACAUACAUAUACGGAAACAUCCAAAGACCGAUGAACACUCAAAGUUGGAGGACAAUGCGCUUGAUGCAGUGAUGAAAAAGUUAUUUAAGAACUACAAGAAGUGGUGCAAAUAUCAUGGUCGCAAGAGUAGCCUUUGGUUGCCAACAAUUCAGCAAGAGGUGCAACAACGGAAAUUACUCUAUAUUGGUCUAUACCUUCUUAUCUGGGGGGAAGCUGCAAAUUUGCGAUUUUUGCCAGAAUGUCUUUGCUACAUAUAUCAUCAUAUGGCAUUUGAAAUGUAUGGUAUGCUAGCUGGAAAUGUGAGUGCCAUGACAGGUGAAUAUGUGAAGCCAGCCUAUGGCGGUGAUAAAGAAGCCUUUCUAAAAAAGAUUGUCACUCCAAUUUACUGUACCAUUGCGCAGGAAGCUGAAAGGAGCAAAAGAGAAAAAGGGAAUCAUUCUCAGUGGAGAAACUACGAUGAUCUUAACGAAUUUUUUUGGUCUGCUGACUGCUUUCGGCUAGGUUGGCCUAUGCGAGCUGAUGCUGAUUUCUUUUGUCAACCUUUAAAGCCAGUUGAUGAAAGAAAUGAAAGCACAAUAAAAGCUGACAAGCAGAAAGGGAAGGUCAAUUUUGUGGAGCUGCGCUCGUUUUGGCACAUAUUCAGGAGUUUCGAUAGAAUGUGGAGCUUCUUUAUUCUAGCUCUUCAGAUUAUGGUUAUUCUUGCUUGGAGUGAAGAAGGGUCAUUAGGUAAUAUUUUUGAUCCUCUGGUUUUCAAGGAGAUCUUGAGCAUCUUUAUCACUUCUUCUAUACUAAAUCUUGGAAAAGCUACACUUGACAUAAUCUUUAAUUGGAGGGCCAGGAGAACGAUGGAAUUUAUGGUCAAGCUGAGAUAUGUCCUGAAGUUCAUAUUGGCAGCUAUGUGGGUGGUACUUCUGUCAGUUACAUAUGCGUACACCUGGGAGAAACCGACAGGAAUUAUUAGGACCAUCAAAAACUGGUUCGGAAAUGGUCCAGAUCAACCAUCACUCUUUAUCAUUGCAGUAGUCGUAUACUUGUUGCCCGAUAUGCUAGCUGCUGUACUUUUCGCUCUUCCAUUACUACGCCGGAAACUUGAAGGUUCAGAUUACAAACUCAUGAGAUUGAUCAUGUGGUGGUCUCAGACUCGCCUGUUUGUUGGUAGGGGAAUGCAUGAAAGCGCCUUUUCACUUUUCAUGUACACCAUGUUUUGGGUUGCUCUUCUUUUGACAAAGUUCGUAUUUAGCUACUAUGUCGAGAUCAAGCCUCUUGUUGUACCCACCAAGGAUAUCAUGAAAUUCCCUAUAAAUCAUUUCCGGUGGCAUGAGUUUUUUCCAAGAGCGAAGGGAAACAUUGGCGUUGUAAUUUCACUUUGGGCCCCAGUCAUUUUGGUGUAUUUCAUGGACACGCAAAUUUGGUAUACAAUCUUCUCCACUCUAGUUGGUGGAGUUUAUGGUGCUUUCCAACGACUUGGCGAGAUCCGCACACUUGGAAUGCUGCGGUCUCGCUUUGAUUCAAUACCUUUAGCCGUUAAUGAUUGUCUAGUUCCGGUUGAAACAUCUGAUGCAAGGCGGAAGAAAGGUCUAAGGUCUAAUUUCAAGAAUCGUUUCAAGGAGAUGACGCAUGAAGACAAGGAGAAGGUAGCUGCAAGAUUUGCACAGAUGUGGAAUGAAAUUGUCUCUAGCUUCCGUGAGGAAGACCUUAUAGAUAACAGGGAGAAGGAGCUGCUACUUGUUCCAUAUGUGGCUGAUCAGGGUCUUCGUGUUACGCAGUGGCCUCCAUUUUUGCUUGCCAGCAUGGUCCCCAUAGCCGUUGACAUGGCGAAGGAUAGCAAUGGUAAAGACCGUGACUUGAAAAAGAGGAUUGAAAACGAUUAUUAUUUUUCUUGUGCAAUUAAAGAAUGCUAUGCAUCAUGUAAAAACAUCAUCAAUGAUCUUGUACAUGGUGAACAAGAGAAAAGGGUCAUAAAUACUAUAUUUACUGAAGUUGAAAAGUGUAUUGCUGAGGACAAAGUUAUUACAGAUUUGAAUAUGCAAUCCCUGCCAGAUCUCUACAAUAAGUUUGUUGAAUUGGUAGAAUUCUUGAAAAAGAAUGAUGAGAAAGACAGGGUCGCUGUGAUAAAGAUAUUUCAAGAUAUGCUGGAGGUUGUAACGAGAGAUAUAAUGGAAGACCAACUUCCUAGUAUUUUGGAGUCAAGUCACGGGGGUUCAUAUCAAAGGCCAGAGGGCAUGACAGCAUGGGGUAAUGAAUAUCAGUUAUUUCAACCAUCUGGAGCUAUCAAGUUUCCACUAGAAGUCAGCACAGAGGCUUGGAAAGAAAAGGUGAAUAGGCUGGAACUACUGCUCACGGUGAAAGAGUCUGCUAUGGACGUUCCUUCAAAUCUUGAAGCCAGAAGGCGUCUUACCUUUUUCACUAACUCUUUGUUUAUGGAUAUGCCUGAUGCUCCUAAAGUCCGAAACACAAUUUCAUUUUCUGCAUUGACUCCUUAUUACAAUGAGCAUGUUCUUUUCUCAAUAAAAGAGCUUGAAGAGGAAAACGAAGAUGGAGUUUCCACUCUGUUCUACCUACAGAAAAUUUACCCAGAUGAAUGGAAGAAUUUCCAGGAAAGGAUUGAGGAAGAACUAAAAGAUAAUGAAGAACUGAAGGAAGAAGCGCUUCGUCAAUGGGCUUCAUACAGAGGCCAAACGCUAACUCGAACAGUUAGAGGCAUGAUGUACUACCGAAAAGCUUUGGUUCUUGAAGCAUUUCUAGAUAUGGCCAAACAUGAAGAUCUCAUGGAAGGGUAUAAAGCAGCUGGGUCAAUAUCGGAUGAAGAGUGGAAGUCCUUGAUUGCUCAGUGUGAAGCAUUGGCUGAUAUGAAGUUCGCCUAUGUGGUAUCAUGCCAACAAUAUGGAAAUGACAAGCGUUCUGCUCUUUCAAAUGCCCAAGACAUAUUACAGCUAAUGAGAACGUACCCUUCUCUUCGUGUAGCAUAUAUUGAUGUGGUGGAAGAUAGAGUAGGAGAGAAGCAAAUUGAGACAGCUUAUUACUCUACAUUGGUAAAGGUUGCUCUAAAUAAGGACUCUGAAUCUGCAGGUCCAGUACAAAAUCUUGAUCAGGUUAUCUACCGAAUAAAACUUCCAGGCCCUGCAAUAUUGGGAGAAGGAAAACCCGAAAAUCAAAACCAUGCAAUAAUUUUCACCCGUGGUGAAGGCCUGCAAACAAUAGACAUGAACCAGGAUAACUAUAUGGAAGAAGCACUUAAAAUGAGAAACUUGCUUCAAGAGUUCCUUACAGAAGAUGGAAUCCGGCAGCCAUCUAUACUUGGAGUUAGGGAGCAUAUUUUUACUGGCAGUGUCUCCUCCCUUGCAUGGUUUAUGUCAAAUCAGGAGCACAGUUUUGUGACUAUUGGACAACGGCUGCUUGCAAACCCUCUGAAGGUUCGAUUCCACUAUGGCCACCCGGAUGUAUUUGAUAGGCUUUUCCAUCUAACGAGGGGUGGUGUCAGUAAGGCAUCAAGGAGUAUCAACUUAAGUGAAGAUAUUUUUGCAGGGUUUAACUCAACUCUUCGUGGUGGCAAUGUAACACAUCAUGAAUAUGUGCAAGUCGGCAAGGGACGAGAUGUAGGACUAAAUCAGAUCUCCAAGUUUGAGGCUAAGGUGGCAAAUGGAAAUGGCGAGCAGACCCUUAGCCGUGAUAUCUACCGUCUUGGGCAUCGGUUCGAUUUCUUCAGAAUGCUUUCAUGCUACUUCACCACAGUGGGAUUUUAUUUCAGUACACUGUUGACAGUCUUCACAGUUUAUGUGUUUCUGUAUGGGCGCCUUUAUCUUGCUCUCAGUGGACUUGAAGAAGGGCUUGCAACACAACGGAAAUUCAGCCAUAAUCAUGCUCUUCAGGUUGCUCUUGCCUCGCAGUCUCUUGUUCAGCUUGGUUUUCUGAUGGCCCUGCCCAUGAUGAUGGAAAUUGGCCUUGAAAAAGGAUUUGGCAAGGCACUAAGUGAAUUUAUAAUGAUGAACUUGCAAUUGGCAUCCGUGUUCUUUACAUUUUCACUUGGUACCAAGACUCACUAUUAUGGACGUAUGUUGCUUCAUGGAGGUGCUCAAUACAGAAGUACCGGCAGGGGAUUUGUUGUCUUUCAUGCAAAGUUUGCAGAAAACUACAGGCUAUAUUCUCGCAGCCACUUUGUUAAAGGCAUCGAGUUGAUGACUCUGCUCAUCGUUUAUCAACUAUUUGGCCAAACUUCCCACUCAACCAUCGCAUAUAUCUUUGUUACGUCCUCCAUGUGGUUCCUAGUGUUGACAUGGCUCUUUGCACCCUUUUUAUUCAACCCCUCGGGGUUUGAGUGGGCGAAAAUUUUGGAUGACUGGUCGGAUUGGAAUAAGUGGAUCAGCAAUCGUGGUGGGAUUGGUGUGUCACCAGAAAAGAGCUGGGAAUCCUGGUGGGAGAUAGAGCAGGAGCAUCUGAAGCAUACAGGAACACUCGGAAUCAUCUUUGAGAUAAUUUUGUCCCUUCGGUUUUUCAUAUAUCAGUACGGCCUUGUGUACCAGUUAACUAUCACAAAGGAGAACAAAAGUAUCGUGGUUUACUUAAUUUCAUGGCUCGUAAUUUUGGCGAUGCUGGUUAUUUUGAAGAUCAUAUCUGUCGGAAGGCGGAGGUUCGGCGCGAACUUUCAGCUGUUCUUCCGUCUGAUCAAGUUCAUGAUAUUCGUUUCGUUCUUCGCUAUUUUGGUUGUGCUGAUAGUACUGCUUCACAUGACUAUAAAAGACAUACUUGUAUGCUUCCUGGCAUUCUUGCCCACCGGAUGGGGAAUACUGCUGAUUGCACAAGCUUGCAGGCCUCUUUUCCGGGUGACGGGGCUAUGGGGAUCUGUCCGAGCCCUUGCGCGGGCGUACGAGGUUAUCAUGGGGAUGCUUCUGUUCACACCAAUUACUGUCCUCUCAUGGUUCCCCUUCGUCUCCGAGUUCCAGACGCGGAUGCUGUUCAACCAGGCGUUCAGUAGAGGUCUGCAGAUUUCCCGGAUUCUUGGCGGUCAGAAGAAGGAGAGGGCCGCUAGCACCAAAGACUAA
Molecule: ribosomal RNA, 5841 nt
Filed under: Triticum aestivum (bread wheat)
Lineage: Eukaryota; Viridiplantae; Streptophyta; Magnoliopsida; Poales; Poaceae
Description: partial small subunit ribosomal RNA
Source: RNAcentral